This is a non-coding RNA of Ictidomys tridecemlineatus (thirteen-lined ground squirrel), 318 nucleotides long. NCBI's taxonomy places the organism in Eukaryota, Metazoa, Chordata, Mammalia, Rodentia, Sciuridae. The record is from RefSeq and is a predicted model, not a curated record.
GCAGCAGAGGGAUCAGAUUACAUCUUCCCUUGAACACAGAAUGGUGCAGUCCAGGAUUCAGCAAUGCAGACUGCACAUCAAUUAUAUGGUGAUCCGCUCCAGGGAACCCGAAUGUUCUCAUGGUUACAUGGCUUCUACUUAUGUCUAUGAAGACACAGGAAAACCUCCACAAAAGUUUGCUUAUAUGGAACCAUCAGCAGUACAAUAAUUUGACAAAAAAGUGUGCAAGUUACCCAAGUUACCCUGAUUUAUCUAGAAAGCAUUUAAUCUUUAUAUCCCAUGCUUCACAUCCAAAAUAAACUGUAAGUCUUGAAUUUG